RNAcentral lists this ribosomal RNA (468 nucleotides) under uncultured bacterium. Its description in RNAcentral is "partial 16S ribosomal RNA". It matches the Rfam family "Bacterial small subunit ribosomal RNA", at positions 28 to 507 of the family's 1533-position model. The record is from RNAcentral.
GACGAACGCUGGCGGCGUGCUUAACACAUGCAAGUCGAACGGAAAGGCCCUGCUUUUGUGGGGUGCUCGAGUGGCGAACGGGUGAGUAACACGUGAGUAACCUGCCCUUGACUUUGGGAUAACUUCAGGAAACUGGGGCUAAUACCGGAUAGGAGCUCCUGCUGCAUGGUGGGGGUUGGAAAGUUUCGGCGUUUGGGGAUGGACUCGCGGCUUAUCAGCUUGUUGGUGGGGUAGUGGCUUACCAAGGCUUUGACGGGUAGCCGGCCUGAGAGGGUGACCGGCCACAUUGGUACUGCGAUACGGCCCAGACUCCUACGGGAGGCAGCAGUGGGGAAUAUUGCACAAUGGGCGGAAGCCUGAUGCAGCAACGCCGCGUGCGGGAUGACGGCCUUCGGGUUGUAAACCGCUUUCGCCUGUGACGAAGCGUGAGUGACGGUAAUGGGUAAAGAAGCACCGGCUAACUACGUG